CUUCCGUAGGUGGAACCUGCGGAGGGAUCAUUAAAGAGUUGCAAAACUCCCACAAACCAUCGCGAACGUUACCCGACGUCGUUGCCUCGGCGGGCUCGCCCGCCGUGGGGACGCCACCAAACUAUUGCAGUCAUUGGCCUCUCUGAGUAAGAUUUUUAAAUAAGUCAAAACUUUCAACAACGGAUCUCUUGGUUCUGGCAUCGAUGAAGAACGCAGCGAAAUGCGAUAAGUAAUGUGAAUUGCAGAAUUCAGUGAAUCAUCGAAUCUUUGAACGCACAUUGCGCCCGCCAGUAUUCUGGCGGGCAUGCCUGUUCGAGCGUCAUUUCAACCAUCAAGCCCUGCUUGUGUUGGGGUCCUGCGGCUGCCCGCAGGCCCUGAAAACCAGUGGCGGGCUCGCUAGUCACACCGAGCGCAGUAGCACAUCUCGCUCAGGGCGUGCGGCGGGUUCUAGCCGUUAAACACCCCCCUUCCAAAGGUGACCUCGGAUCA
This 489-nucleotide ribosomal RNA is filed under the name fungal endophyte sp. ECD-2008. RNAcentral's name for it is "eukaryotic LSU rRNA". The stretch from base 169 to 322 matches the Rfam family "5.8S ribosomal RNA". The record is from RNAcentral. Lineage: Eukaryota; Fungi.